RNAcentral lists this unclassified non-coding RNA (748 nucleotides) under Agaricus bisporus (cultivated mushroom). Its description in RNAcentral is "sequence contains ITS1, 5.8S rRNA gene and ITS2". The stretch from base 338 to 491 matches the Rfam family "5.8S ribosomal RNA". The record is from RNAcentral. Lineage: Eukaryota; Fungi; Basidiomycota; Agaricomycetes; Agaricales; Agaricaceae.
AAAGUCGUAACAAGGUUUCCGUAGGUGAACCUGCGGAAGGAUCAUUAUUGAAUUAUGUUUUCUAGAUGGGUUGUAGCUGGCUCUUCGGAGUAUGUGCACGCCUGUCUGGACUUCAUUUUCAUCCACCUGUGCACCUUUUGUAGUCUUUUUCAGGUAUUGGAGGAAGUGGUCAGCCUAUCAGCUCUUUGCUGGAUGUAAGGACUUGCAGUGUGAAAACAGUGCUGUCCUUUACCUUGGCCAUGGAAUCUUUUUCCUGUUAGAGUCUAUGUUAUUCAUUAUACUCUUAGAAUGUCAUUGAAUGUCUUUACAUGGGCUAUGCCUAUGAAAAUUAUUAUACAACUUUCAGCAACGGAUCUCUUGGCUCUCGCAUCGAUGAAGAACGCAGCGAAAUGCGAUAAGUAAUGUGAAUUGCAGAAUUCAGUGAAUCAUCGAAUCUUUGAACGCAUCUUGCGCUCCUUGGUAUUCCGAGGAGCAUGCCUGUUUGAGUGUCAUUAUAUUCUCAACUCUCCAAUACUUUGUUGUAAAGGAGAGCUUGGAUUGUGGAGGUUUGCUGGCUCCUUACUUGGGGUCAGCUCCUCUGAAAUGCAUUAGCGGAAUCGUCUGCGAUCUGCCACAAGUGUGAUAACUUAUCUACACUGGCGAGGGGAUUGCUUUCUGAUGUUCAGCUUCUAAUCGUCUAAGGACAAUUUCUUGAAUGCUUGACCUCAAAUCAGGUAGGACUACCCGCUGAACUUAAGCAUAUCAAUAA